CAUUUUUGAGCCAUUUAUAUAUUUAAUAUAAUCGAGACCUAAAAACCUCCUCAAAAUAA
This 59-nucleotide transfer RNA is filed under the name Didelphis virginiana (North American opossum). RNAcentral's name for it is "tRNA-Lys". Lineage: Eukaryota; Metazoa; Chordata; Mammalia; Didelphimorphia; Didelphidae. The record is from RNAcentral.